Molecule: RNA transcript, 1729 nt
Organism: Helicoverpa armigera (cotton bollworm)
Lineage: Eukaryota; Metazoa; Arthropoda; Insecta; Lepidoptera; Noctuidae
Exons: 1
Source: RefSeq, a predicted model, not a curated record
CUUCGAUCCGCGGACCGAUGCGGUCAUGUCUCUCGCGACAAAACUUUUUAAACAUGAAUUCCAACGUUAAAGUGAACAAAAACAUUGACUGAAGUGAAUUUGCGGUGUGAAUGUUCAUUAUAUUAUGUUAAAAAGUGGUUGCAAACGUGUUUUGUGGUUAUAAAACUGUUAAACAGCCAUUGUUUGAGUGCAAAACUUCGAAAUUCUUGAAAACAAUGAGUGUUUAACCAUCAUGGAAGACGUGUACACAAUUAAAGUUAAAACGAAACCUGAUAGGAGGAACUUAUAUCCUUCUGAGCGAAGGUAUUCGGCGUCAACUGUGUCUGGGCUAGCUUGGUGCAUAUAGCCCUAGCGGCGACUUCCUUUCUUCUCGCCUGUUUAGCGCUCGUCAACCCAAAUACCGACACACAGGUACAAAAUAACAAUACGCUACAAAAUGACGUUACACGAAAUCCCGUUUACGAUCUACUGCAAAAUGAAACAGCAAUCAACUUGAAUAAUGAAGAUGGAACUCAAAAAUUCGCACAACCAAUCGAAUUUUGAGACGAGUGGAUCCAAUGAGACCGGAAAAUCGUUAAAUUCAAACGAAACAACGGAUUUAGACGGUAAUAAAAAUGAUAGUAAUUAUAUAUUGGUUUUAGCACCGGCUUUAAUUACUAUAUUUGGUUUAGCUGCCGGUGUAGCUAGUAUUCUAGCGUCAGUCAGAUGGUAUAUAGACCACAACAUAACCUGGUUAUUCGUCAUGUCGUGUCUAUCGACGCUGAUCUCUCGCUUCGUUUGUAAUGAUAGCUGUAUGGUUUAUAACCACGUCUGAGGGAGACAUUACCGAGUUCUACAAGGACAAAGUGCCUUUCAAAGACUAUGUUGUCAUCAGACAUACAGAUGUGAUCAUUAAAAAUGAGUCGCAUAUGAUUGUGGCGUUAAAUUCGACGGCAACCAACGAAGAAACACCGAAUUUGUUUACAAAACGUGUGCUAUCUAUUAACAUUUUAAUAGCUGCGUUUUUGGAAUUGCUAUGGUCUAUUUUAAGCGUGAAAAUUUCCUACAAAGGCAUGAAAAACACAUAUAAAGAAGAAAACGAAAGACGAGGCAACUGCAUUUCAGUUGUGACUAAAAUAAAAGGCAAUGAUACGAGAAAAUUGCCACGAAACGGCAAGCUUUUACCUCCAAAACCUGACUUAAUUGACCACUAUCCUAGCAAGAAAAUUAAAAGGAUUUUCCUAGCACAAUCUGACAACGGAUUUUAUUUGAAAAAUCAAGGCAAUAAAGCGAAACAAAACACAGAAACGAGUUCAGAGUUUUACAAAGAGAGGAUGAUGAAUUUUUUGAACAGAUGUGCUUCCUUGGAAGGUAUGUCCAACCCAGAGAAUACUUCUAGUGUCCAUUCUGAAGCCUUGAACCCGAUACCAGAAGGCGUGACUGUGGAAACCAGUGUUCAAGACACGACUAACACACCAAUCACUGAAAUAAAAGAUAGAGUUACUCCUAUAAGUUGGGGAGACACUCCUGAACAUACGGUUUACAAUCAGAACACAUUAAAUUUGGACAAAAUUUUCAAGUUUAAGCCAAAUGCGAACAAAAGUGAAUCUGUUAACGAGUAGUGCGUGAUAGUGAAAUUGACAUUGAAAUGUACUGUACACGCGAACUGUGAAAAUAUCUGUGUUUUAGUAUUGGUAGAUGUGUUUUACGCUGUGUUCUAACCAAACUGAUUGUCAGCCGCCGAAUGUGA